Molecule: small RNA, 1599 nt
Filed under: Arabidopsis thaliana (thale cress)
Lineage: Eukaryota; Viridiplantae; Streptophyta; Magnoliopsida; Brassicales; Brassicaceae
Description: ATSL263550
Source: RNAcentral
UGUUUUAUUUAAACUUACGUUGAUUUCGUGUAAGAAUACGUUCUACCCAUGAAAUAUUUAAACCUGAUUUUUGAAAUCUUUUGAAUUUAGGCGGUAUGUUAAAAUUCUCUAUAAUCAAAUAAAUAUAAUUGACUCAAAGAUUAAAAUCGGAGGAGAAUGCAAAUUGUUAACAUGUUUAUCAUAUACUGUAAGUAGUCAUAUGAUAUAUUGUUCAAAAUCGUAUAUUUUUUUAAUGGUUUUGUGUUAAUGAUUAUUGAAAAAUUAACUCUAAUGCCCUCUCCUUGAUGCCCCUUUUCAACUCUACCCUUUUUUUUGCUAUUUUCAUUUCUACCCCAUCUAAUAGUUUUAUCCCCAAACUACCCCAUCUAAUAUUAUUAUUCCCAAACUACCCUUAAUGAACUACAAACACUUCAUCGACCUAAUUUUAUUUACUCUUUCUCUUGUUCUUCCUUCGUCGGAAAUUGUUUAAUUUGUCACCGUUGCAUCCCGUCGUCGCCGUCGGAGAUUGUCGGAUUCGUGUUGUCGAUUUCACCGUCUCAGUCUUCAUUCAAUCUCUUGCUUUUCCCAGGUUUGUUUUUCGAAUCGAUUUCGAAUUUGUAAUGUUAGCCUAAAUGUCUCGAUUUCGAAUUGGUUUAUUCGAUUUUGUUGUUGCUUAUGUGAAUUCGAUUUCUAAAUCAUAUUAUCUGUCGUAAGUAAGAACUCUUUCAAGGAGAAACAGAUUGGUUGAGAAUCAACUCUAAACCAAAGAGUUUAUCCUUUAGUCAUCACUCUCUUCUGCAUGAGGUAGUGGAAAAAUUUCCCUGAAAAUUUUACACCCCUCUUUGCCUUCAUUCUUGGUCCCAAUUCAACUAAAGAACCAAAAAAAGAACUUCUAAUCUUGUCAAAUAAACUCUCGCCUAACGCUUCCUCUACUUUAUUAACUAAAAUCCAAUCCGAAUGUUGCUGAACCGUACCCAUUGCAAUAGAUUCGUUACCUUCUUUGUAGAUCUGUUCAGGCAAUGUAAGGAUUUCACUCUCUGAAUCCAUCUGCGAAACAUGUACAAAAUAAAUCAGAUUCGAACUGAAAUUUAGAUCUAAACUAUUGUCAGAUCCACUAUAAAAUCGAGAGUCAUAUUACCGUCGGAUUUGGCGAUUUCUCUGUCGGAUCUAUCGAUCUCCAAAUCGAAGGAAACUCUUCGUCGGAUUUCUCUGGGGAUUGUUUCUCGUUAGAGAGAAAUAAAUUCGGCGAUAGAUCAGAAUUCGUCGUCGGAAAGAAAUGAAUUCGGCGUCGGAAAGAAAUUAAUUAGGCGUCGGAGAGAAAUGAAUUCGGCGUUGGAGAGAUCUGAAUUCGUCGGCGAAGAGGUUUGUCGGAGAGAACUGAAUUCGUCGGCGAAGAGGUUUGUCGAAGAGGAAGAGGUUUGUCGACAGGAGAAAUAAAAGUGAAACUCUAAUUAUUCAUUAAGAUCAAGACAGUAAUUUUCCACACUAGAAGGGGCAGUUUUAAAAAUGGCCAUCAGGAAAGGGUAUUGUUGCAAAAUGUCAUUAGAAAAAGGGACUUUUGCAAAUCUCCCAUGAUUAUUAAGAUUACUCAUGUUAGGUGUUCAAUUUUGUUAAUUAAAU